This 512-nucleotide ribosomal RNA is filed under the name uncultured bacterium. RNAcentral describes it as "partial 16S ribosomal RNA". It matches the Rfam family "Bacterial small subunit ribosomal RNA", at positions 28 to 523 of the family's 1533-position model. The record is from RNAcentral.
GAUGAACGCUGGCGGCGUGCCUAAUACAUGCAAGUCGAGCGGAACUGGGGGAGCUUGCUCCUUCCAGUUUAGCGGCGGACGGGUGAGUAACACGUGGGCAACCUGCCCUGCAGAUCGGGAUAACUCCGGGAAACCGGUGCUAAUACCGAAUAGUUUGGCGCCUCUCCUGAGGCGCUACGGAAAGACGGUUUCGGCUGUCACUGCAGGAUGGGCCCGCGGCGCAUUAGCUAGUUGGUGGGGUAACGGCCCACCAAGGCGACGAUGCGUAGCCGACCUGAGAGGGUGACCGGCCACACUGGGACUGAGAAACGGCCCAGACUCCUACGGGAGGCAGCAGUAGGGAAUCUUCCGCAAUGGACGCAAGUCUGACGGAGCAACGCCGCGUGAGUGACGAAGGUUUUCGGAUCGUAAAACUCUGUUGUGAGGGAAGAACACGUACCAACUAACUAUUGGUACCUUGACGGUACCUCGCCAGAAAGCCACGGCUAACUACGUGCCAGCCGCCGCCGUAA